Equus caballus (horse) is the source of this 2329-nucleotide long non-coding RNA. The record is from Ensembl. NCBI's taxonomy places the organism in Eukaryota, Metazoa, Chordata, Mammalia, Perissodactyla, Equidae.
UAAAACAUCCCAGCGCCCAGGCUGAACUCCAGACCAAUUACCAGACUCUCUGGGGGUGGGCCCAGGCACCAGCAUUCUGGAAAGCUCCGGGGGUGAUUCCAUUGUGCAGCCAAGGUUGAGAACCACUGCUCCUAGUCCUACAGCCAGAGAGAGCCACACCCACGGGAAGACCUCGGCCACUGUCCAAGAGUCCGAUCCAAUUCCUUUUGCAUUCCUUUUUCUUGAAGAGAGAUGGGACAAGAAUGAGGACCAGCAGGAGACCGCCUCCCCUCCCCUACUCUGGGAAGGAGCUGUUCUAGGUGUCGUGCAGCUGGAACAUAAAGACUCUUUCAGGGACCCCACAACCUCGCAGCUGGAGGACACAACCCCACAAGCCACAUUUAGUGGACACAAACAGUUUUGCAUUGUGCUGGAUUGUUCUACUGUGAGCCCCAUUACAUAGGGGGCCAUGUUUCCCAGAAUCGUCUUCCUUGUGUGAUUCCAGGUUAGAAUCGCCAAAAGUGAAGCUGUGGGGGCUGAGGGAGGAGGCAGUGAGGCGGCCCCGCUGAAGGUCCGAGGCAGUGAGAGACAGGCGCAGAGGUGCUGCCAGCUUCAAGCUUGCCCCACUCUGCUGUCCCCACGCCGCCUCCAGCCCUUCUUCCUGAACGCCGGCCUCGCUGACCCACAGUGACCCCAGUACACCAUCAAUGCUCCACUGUGGAUUCAACGAGGCAGCAGCUACAAUGAGCCGCCAACCUUCCAUGGGCUUCUGCACCAACGCCUCUGCGGUCUCACUCCUUCAGCCAGAUGUGACCAGCCUCCAGGCUUUCCUGCAAGCCCUCACCUGUGUCCACACUUCUAGUGAGCGCCUUCUCUCUGCCCUUUUAGGACCAUUUCCCCAGUCUCUCUUGCAAUUGGGGAAGGUCGAAUUCUCAUAAUGCCUGAUAACCUAACACUCCUCGUGGUCCUGCUUUUCUGAUUCCACCCUCACGGAUACACCGUAGAAGGGCAUGAGGAAGCCUUCCGGGAUGUUGGAAACGUUCUGUAUCUUCAUCUGGGUGGUGGUUACAUGGAAUCUCUCUCUAUAUUUUUAAAUUCAUCAAAGCUUAUACUUAAGAUUUGUACACUUUAUCAUUCAUAUGCUGCAUCUCAAUAACUGUUUUUUUAAAGAGUGACUUAAGAGACUUUAUCAGCCAAAUAAAUAAAUUAAAACACAACAAUAGGUUGAAUGCAAUCUAUUGCCUUCGUGCCUAGUGCAAUCUAAUGAACCUGCCUGGGCUGCAGACCCCCCAGCCCCAAGCCUGCUUGCCAGCCUCCUCCCAGGCCCCAGCACGAGCCUCUGCCCAGCUGGAGUGGACCCUGAGUGACCCUGGACGUCUGAGCAGCUCGCCCCCUGGGACGGCAGCCAUGACGGUCUGAGGAGAAAGAUGGGCAAAUCCUCCCAACAGUCACCUUUCAGAUGCAGCUGUGAUCAGCCCUGGAGAGACAAUUUUGCAGACAGGAUAAUAAUAGUGGCAGACACACAUUAGUUAUAUAUGUGUAUAUAAUGUAUUAUGUAAUAUCCAUAUGUUAAAUCCAUGCAACAAGCUACAGCAUUGUCCCCAUUUUAAAGAUGAAGAAAUUGAGGUCUUCAUCUGAAGAAAAAGUAGAAAACUUUCUCAAGGUCACACACACAGCAGGCGGCAGACCCCAGCUCAAACCCAGGUCUGCACGAUUUCAAAGCACAUGCCUGUAAGCAAUACAAUAUUCCUUGUCUACGUUAGUCCCCAAGCCCUGGAUUGCUCUAGCCACCAGGAUCCCAGCAAGGCUGAGCUUGCUUGCAAGUUUGCACCACCCCCUCCCACCAACUCGUUAGCAGUCUCCCUCAAGAACCUACUUCCAGUCACCAAACUAGAGAAACUAAAGUCCAGAGAAUAUCAAGAAACCGAAGCUUCCCACGCCCAACUCCACGGUUUCCUGACGUCAGAGUCUACCUCCACCACGGAGAUAAACAGCCAAGGACACUCGUCUGAGAAAUCCUUUGUCUCCUCUGCUGGAAGCAGCCCCAGACACAGGCCGAUGGGAAAACGUUGACCAAGAAGGUCAUAGCCCCCCUCCCCUAUCUAAAACCCUAAAUAAAAACCCUAUACCCAGUUCUUAAUGGGGAGCAAGCAAUUUGGGGGACACUGGCCCUUGCUUUGUACCCUCUGCUUGGCACCCAAGAGUCUGUUCUCGUUAUUGGGAUUGGCAUCGGGAUCAGAGACUGAACUUUCAGUGACAUUCCCAGCCAAUUCAGGGAUCGGAGGUCUUUCAUCUGUCCCCGCAGUUCUGUCUGGAAGAAUUCUAACCAUGUUCUUUGCUCAUCACCAAA